This 465-nucleotide ribosomal RNA is filed under the name uncultured bacterium. RNAcentral describes it as "partial 16S ribosomal RNA". It matches the Rfam family "Bacterial small subunit ribosomal RNA", at positions 28 to 507 of the family's 1533-position model. The record is from RNAcentral.
GACGAACGCUGGCGGCGUGCUUAACACAUGCAAGUCGUACGGUAAGGCCCUUUCGGGGGUACACGAGUGGCGAACGGGUGAGUAACACGUGAGUAACCUGCCCACAACUUUGGGAUAACGCUAGGAAACUGGUGCUAAUACUGGAUAUGUGCUCCUGCUGCAUGGUGGGGGUUGGAAAGCUCCGGCGGUUGUGGAUGGACUCGCGGCCUAUCAGCUUGUUGGUGGGGUAGUGGCCUACCAAGGCGGCGACGGGUAGCCGGCCUGAGAGGGUGACCGGCAACAUUGGGACUGAGAUACGGCCCAGACUCCUACGGGAGGCAGCAGUGGGGAAGAUUGCACAAUGGGCGCAAGCCUGAUGCAGCAACGCCGCGUGCGGGAUGACGGCCUUCGGGUUGUAAACCGCUUUCAGCAGGGACGAAGCUUUUUGUGACGGUACCUGCAGAAGAAGCACCGGCUAACUACGUG